Molecule: ribosomal RNA, 1611 nt
Filed under: Escherichia coli
Lineage: Bacteria; Pseudomonadati; Pseudomonadota; Gammaproteobacteria; Enterobacterales; Enterobacteriaceae
Also listed under: 1 other name
Description: partial 23S ribosomal RNA
Rfam family: Bacterial large subunit ribosomal RNA
Source: RNAcentral
AGACCCGAAACCCGGUGAUCUAGCCAUGGGCAGGUUGAAGGUUGGGUAACACUAACUGGAGGACCGAACCGACUAAUGUUGAAAAAUUAGCGGAUGACUUGUGGCUGGGGGUGAAAGGCCAAUCAAACCGGGAGAUAGCUGGUUCUCCCCGAAAGCUAUUUAGGUAGCGCCUCGUGAAUUCAUCUCCGGGGGUAGAGCACUGUUUCGGCAAGGGGGUCAUCCCGACUUACCAACCCGAUGCAAACUGCGAAUACCGGAGAAUGUUAUCACGGGAGACACACGGCGGGUGCUAACGUCCGUCGUGAAGAGGGAAACAACCCAGACCGCCAGCUAAGGUCCCAAAGUCAUGGUUAAGUGGGAAACGAUGUGGGAAGGCCCAGACAGCCAGGAUGUUGGCUUAGAAGCAGCCAUCAUUUAAAGAAAGCGUAAUAGCUCACUGGUCGAGUCGGCCUGCGCGGAAGAUGUAACGGGGCUAAACCAUGCACCGAAGCUGCGGCAGCGACACUGUGUGUUGUUGGGUAGGGGAGCGUUCUGUAAGCCUGUGAAGGUGUGCUGUGAGGCAUGCUGGAGGUAUCAGAAGUGCGAAUGCUGACAUAAGUAACGAUAAAGCGGGUGAAAAGCCCGCUCGCCGGAAGACCAAGGGUUCCUGUCCAACGUUAAUCGGGGCAGGGUGAGUCGACCCCUAAGGCGAGGCCGAAAGGCGUAGUCGAUGGGAAACAGGUUAAUAUUCCUGUACUUGGUGUUACUGCGAAGGGGGGACGGAGAAGGCUAUGUUGGCCGGGCGACGGUUGUCCCGGUUUAAGCGUGUAGGCUGGUUUUCCAGGCAAAUCCGGAAAAUCAAGGCUGAGGCGUGAUGACGAGGCACUACGGUGCUGAAGCAACAAAUGCCCUGCUUCCAGGAAAAGCCUCUAAGCAUCAGGUAACAUCAAAUCGUACCCCAAACCGACACAGGUGGUCAGGUAGAGAAUACCAAGGCGCUUGAGAGAACUCGGGUGAAGGAACUAGGCAAAAUGGUGCCGUAACUUCGGGAGAAGGCACGCUGAUAUGUAGGUGAAGUCCCUCGCGGAUGGAGCUGAAAUCAGUCGAAGAUACCAGCUGGCUGCAACUGUUUAUUAAAAACACAGCACUGUGCAAACACGAAAGUGGACGUAUACGGUGUGACGCCUGCCCGGUGCCGGAAGGUUAAUUGAUGGGGUCAGCGCAAGCGAAGCUCUUGAUCGAAGCCCCGGUAAACGGCGGCCGUAACUAUAACGGUCCUAAGGUAGCGAAAUUCCUUGUCGGGUAAGUUCCGACCUGCACGAAUGGCGUAAUGAUGGCCAGGCUGUCUCCACCCGAGACUCAGUGAAAUUGAACUCGCUGUGAAGAUGCAGUGUACCCGCGGCAAGACGGAAAGACCCCGUGAACCUUUACUAUAGCUUGACACUGAACAUUGAGCCUUGAUGUGUAGGAUAGGUGGGAGGCUUUGAAGUGUGGACGCCAGUCUGCAUGGAGCCGACCUUGAAAUACCACCCUUUAAUGUUUGAUGUUCUAACGUGGACCCGUGAUCCGGGUUGCGGACAGUGUCUGGUGGGUAGUUUGACUGGGGCGGUCUCCUCCUAAAGAGUAACGGAG